UGCUUUGGCGGCUCCGGCCGCCAAAGGACCUUCAAACUCCAGUCAGUAAACGCAGACGUCUGAUAAACAAGUUAAUAAACUAAAACUUUCAACAACGGAUCUCUUGGUUCUGGCAUCGAUGAAGAACGCAGCGAAAUGCGAUAAGUAAUGUGAAUUGCAGAAUUCAGUGAAUCAUCGAAUCUUUGAACGCACAUUGCGCCCCUUGGUAUUCCGGGGGGCAUGCCUGUUCGAGCGUCAUUACAACCCUCAAGCUCUGCUUGGAAUUGGGCACCGUCCUCACUGCGGACGCGCCUCAAAGACCUCGGCGGUGGCUGUUCAGCCCUCAAGCGUAGUAGAAUACACCUCGCUUUGGAGCGGUUGGCGUCGCCCGCCGGACGAACCUUCUGAACUUUUCUCAAGGUUGACCUCGGAUCAGGUAGGGAUACCCGCUGAACUUAAGCAUAUCAAUAAGCGGAGGAAAAGAAACCAACAGGGAUUGCCUUAGUAACGGCGAGUGAAGCGGCAACAGCUCAAAUUUGAAAGCUGGCCCUUUUAGGGUCCGCAUUGUAAUUUGUAGAGGAUGAUUCGGCGAGGGCUCCUGCCUAAGUCCCCUGGAACGGGGCGUCAUAGAGGGUGAGAAUCCCGUAUGCGGUAGGUUGCCUUAGCCAUGUGAAUCUCCUUCGACGAGUCGAGUUGUUUGGGAAUGCAGCUCUAAAUGGGAGGUAAAUUUCUUCUAAAGCUAAAUACCGGCCAGAGACCGAUAGCGCACAAGUAGAGUGAUCGAAAGAUGAAAAGCACUUUGGAAAGAGAGUUAAAAAGUACGUGAAAUUGUUGAAAGGGAAGCGCUUGCAACCAGACUUGUCCGCAGUUGCUCAGCCGGUCUCCUGACCGGCGUACUCUUCUGCGGCCAGGCCAGCAUCAGUUCGGGCGGUCGGAUAAAGGCCUCGGGAAUG
RNAcentral lists this ribosomal RNA (932 nucleotides) under fungal sp. RNAcentral describes it as "eukaryotic LSU rRNA". The stretch from base 402 to 932 matches the Rfam family "Eukaryotic large subunit ribosomal RNA", at positions 1 to 536 of the family's 3401-position model. The record is from RNAcentral. Lineage: Eukaryota; Fungi.